UACGGAGGGUGCAAGCGUUACUCGGAAUUACUGGGCGUAAAGAGCGUGUAGGCGGGUUUGUAAGUUAGAAGUGAAAUCCUAUAGCUCAACUAUAGAACUGCUUCUAAAACUGCUUACCUAGAAUAUGGGAGAGGUAGAUGGAAUUUCUGGUGUAGGGGUAAAAUCCGUAGAGAUCAGAAGGAAUACCGAUUGCGAAGGCGAUCUACUGGAACAUUAUUGACGCUGAGACGCGAAAGCGUGGGGAGCAAACAGG
This 253-nucleotide ribosomal RNA is filed under the name uncultured bacterium. RNAcentral describes it as "partial 16S ribosomal RNA". It matches the Rfam family "Bacterial small subunit ribosomal RNA", at positions 524 to 776 of the family's 1533-position model. The record is from RNAcentral.